ACCGUACCCUCAUCACAGUGUCCUGAGAUCCAUAUCCUUAUGCAAAUAAUAAAUUAAUAUCCAUUUCCAUAUGUGAAUUUGGAAGAACUUACAAAGAUCCAUAUAAGUACUCAUAUUCAGGACAGGAACAUGCACAAGUAUCAACCUUAAAAUGCAGAAAAGCAUACAGAUGGAUAAUAUCCAAGCUAUUUUCAACUCUAGUUCUGUAUUUGUUCUUUAGACUAUAGAUUGAAGCUGGCAUAUAUCAUACAAUCCAGACGAAAGAUCAGAGCAAAUGCUACAAUGAGAGGUAUAAUUGUGAUUCAUAUGAAAACUUCGGACUCUUACACCGUCCUUGGGACUAGUAUUCGGAGAUUAACUAAGUUUAUGUGAUAACCAUUCCACUGUGACAGGACGACUUCAAAUAAACCAGUUCUAAUCUCCUCUUGCAAUGGAAAUAAUGCCAAUAGAGCGGAACACCACCUUGGUAUGGCCCUUCAUAGGGUUAUUUAACUUGUAUUUGCCAUGCAUAUCGUCUCUUUGGAGAUAUAGGUGUAAAUCCACAUCAAAAAUACACUUGGAUAUUGCAAUUUCACAAGCACCUUCCAGCAUCAUAUUCUCCUUCAGGUAUGUCUGAGAAUCUUCUCAGUUCUAAUAAGCUCACAAAAAGAAAAGAAGUGCCGCAACCUCCUUUGAUGGGAUGAGGAGUGGGAAGGCUCCUUUGGUAGUUUCCUUAAAACCCUCGUGCCUUGUUUUGAGGGUCCACAGACACAGAAUAUGUCACAUUUGAAGAAAUAUCUAUAAGAAAAUUCCUUUAUUAAAAGAUGAAAGUCUC
This 814-nucleotide long non-coding RNA is filed under the name Phoenix dactylifera (date palm). RNAcentral describes it as "long non-coding RNA (PDAC_LNC017661)". Lineage: Eukaryota; Viridiplantae; Streptophyta; Magnoliopsida; Arecales; Arecaceae. The record is from RNAcentral.